UCAAACUCAUUCAUCAUGAGAUUCGAGACGAAAACCAAGUUGAUAGGGAAGAAUCUUCAGUGGGGUAGCGGGUGGCCCACCACACAUUGUGUGGAGAUAGGUGGCCCACACACCCCGAGGGUGCGACCGCCUUACUAAAGAUUCUCUUAGUUGAUGGACAUCGUCAUCUUCGUUAAUUCAAUUUCACGCUUUGAACAAAAUGUAUUCAAAAUCUGUUCUUGGACUAAUGGGAUUAAAUCAGCAUUUGACGCUAUUAGCAUUUCGUUCGCUCUUGCACUUUGCGUAGCUACACAACCCUUUCCCAAAAGGAAUUUUGAUGUU
RNAcentral lists this long non-coding RNA (321 nucleotides) under Olea europaea (common olive). RNAcentral's name for it is "long non-coding RNA (OEUR_LNC003664)". Lineage: Eukaryota; Viridiplantae; Streptophyta; Magnoliopsida; Lamiales; Oleaceae. The record is from RNAcentral.